Molecule: non-coding RNA, 92 nt
Organism: Podarcis lilfordi (Lilford's wall lizard)
Lineage: Eukaryota; Metazoa; Chordata; Lepidosauria; Squamata; Lacertidae
Source: the annotation of a GenBank genome assembly
UGGAUAGCUCAGUUGGUUAGAGCAUGGUGUUGAUAACGCCAUGGUUUGCAGGUUCAACGUUUGGGACAGGUGUGUAUUCCUGCAUUGCAGAA